This 1529-nucleotide long non-coding RNA is filed under the name Nicotiana tabacum (common tobacco). RNAcentral describes it as "long non-coding RNA (NTAB_LNC010253)". The record is from RNAcentral. Lineage: Eukaryota; Viridiplantae; Streptophyta; Magnoliopsida; Solanales; Solanaceae.
CACGAUGAUUGUAAUUUACGAAAUCAGUACUUCUCAUAUUUAAAUCACAGUGUAAUAGAAUCAUGAAGAUAAAUACUCGUACUCUAACUCUACUAACUCAUUACAUGAAAUCAACCAUUCAAUUAAUUACAAUAAGCUUACUUUAUAAAUUCAAUACUAUUGUAGACAAUCAUUAUUACAGACUUAAUCUCGAAUGAAUCAUCAUACCAUUGAUCGAUUUUACAGAAGAGUUUAAACUGGAAGGAUAUUUAAUUAGAUUAAACUAUUACGCUAAUAGCCACCUUCAAUCCUGUUAAUAUCCAGAUCUAUUGGUUUAGUUCAUGGCUUGGUGCUGAUACCUUUUAAACUUCAAAACAACCUGAAAAUCUCCACUUCAAACUCUAUUUUCAUUGAGCAGUACUCACAUUUCAGUAUAUUAACACAUUAAUCUUUAAAAAAACCACAGACAUUUCGCCAAUGUGUUGUUAUGUAGAAUAUUCCUACAGUUGUAUUCUGUUAUUUCUCUUCUUUUUUGACCCUCUUAUUUCUGUUUAUUACUUCCUCACCCUCACAUAUGACCUGCUCUUAUUUUCUUUUACAAUUCAGUCCCUUUUUCUUUUUCUAGAAGCUUCUAAAUUAGUCACAAGAAAGAUUUCAUCAAAUUUUAAAUUCCCUUCGUACCCCAUAGACUUUUAGUAAGUACAAACAACAGUAACAAACGAACUCCAACCAAGUUAAAAAUCAAAACAGAGCAAAUAACAUUCAAAAAAUCAAGUAAUUCUAAUGAUUAAUCCUGAUUCAACCAUGCGACUAACAUGAUUCAAGAUCAAUUAGCCUACCAGUUAACUAUCAUGCAAUUAAAUUAACUAAAAAAAAUGAAUCUCCUAAUAUGCAAACACACAAACAGUCAAACUAAAAUAAUAUACAAAUGCAAAAAAGUUAAUUUGAAUCAGAGAAUAGGGGAGGAGGACUAGAUAAGAACUAAAAUCAACAAAUAAAAGGAAAAAGAGAGGAAGGCAUACCUAAUGAGUUUCAACAUAUUGACAAAAUAAUUCCGGCAAGCCGGAGAAAGCAGAAAAGGUCAAUUGGAGAGCAUCUUGCCGGUUAACGACCGGUUGACCAAAAUCCGAUUAUCUCGGAAUGAACUAAAACAAAUAUCAAUCGAUUACUCUCGUCAAGAACAAUCGAUCAACGUAGGUUUUGAGACAAAAUGAGUUGUCUUUGAGAAGAAAUCAAGAGAAGACAGAUUAGGGGUUUUGGGUCAAUCUUGGAUCUACUAAAUGAUGAGUUUGUGAUGGAAUUGGAGGGAGAUAAUGAUGGAUUUGGAUUAAAUGAAGCUUGAGGAUUGUAGGGUGAUAAUUUGGUGGUGUUUGAAGUCGGGCCGCCACCGUGGGCGAUUUACGGUGGCGGUGAGGUAGAGAGUGAAAGAGAAGAAGAAAUGGGAGGGGUCUCUAGAGUUGGGGGGAGGGGGGGUCAUUUCGGACAGUUAUAUGGGGAAUGGAGAUUAGUUUUCAGCAGUUUGAUCAUGACCAAGGAAUGACUGAUAUUUC